UAAUACCGGAUAAUAUUUUGAACUGCAUGGUUCGAAAUUGAAAGGCGGCUUCGGCUGUCACUUAUGGAUGGACCCGCGUCGCAUUAGCUAGUUGGUGAGGUAACGGGCUCACCAAGGCAACGAUGCGUAGCCGACCUGAGAGGGUGAUCGGCCACACUGGGACUGAGACACGGCCCAGACUCCUACGGGAGGCAGCAGUAGGGAAUCUUCCGCAAUGGACGAAAGUCUGACGGAGCAACGCCGCGUGAGUGAUGAAGGCUUUCGGGUCGUAAAACUCUGUUGUUAGGGAAGAACAAGUGCUAGUUGAAUAAGCUGGCACCUUGACGGUACCUAACCAGAAAGCCACGGCUAACUACGUG
RNAcentral lists this ribosomal RNA (359 nucleotides) under uncultured bacterium. RNAcentral's name for it is "bacterial SSU rRNA". It matches the Rfam family "Bacterial small subunit ribosomal RNA", at positions 164 to 507 of the family's 1533-position model. The record is from RNAcentral.